This 1551-nucleotide long non-coding RNA is filed under the name Arabidopsis thaliana (thale cress). Its description in RNAcentral is "potential natural antisense gene, locus overlaps with AT5G36001. (AT5G36002)". The record is from RNAcentral. Lineage: Eukaryota; Viridiplantae; Streptophyta; Magnoliopsida; Brassicales; Brassicaceae.
CAAAUUCACAUCUAUCCAUUUAUUAGUAAAGCUUGGGAAAUGUUCGUCUGAAAUUGCGUAAUGCGCAACAUUGAAAUUACGAUAAACAAUCAAUAGUGGCUCGAAUCAAAUCUAGACAACGUUCGUCGUGGCAGCUUUAUUUGGCAAAGAUGAAGGCGAAUUCCGACAAACCGGACAAGAGUUAUGCAACUUGAGCCACGGGUCGAUGCAUUCGGUGUGGAAGCAAUGUUCACAUUCGGGUAAGCACUUAACGGUCUCUUCACUUGUGUAUUCUGAUAAACAAAUGGGACAGAGAGUGUCAUUUCGCCAAGGGACACUCUUGGCUUGUUGUUGGAUUGGGAUAAAAAUGAUACAGACGGCAGGAGUUAUCACUAUGAAGAAUGCCAAGAUUUUGAUUUCAAGUUGGGGUGUAUAUGUGAGAACUUAUAGGACGAGAGGGUUACCAGAAUCAACGUAUGUGAAGCAUUUGACUUUGAGGAUGGUAUUGUUUAUGAAGCUACAUAACGGACUAAAAUCAACACAACCUGUGCAAUCCGGUGAGUCCCAUUUCAGCCAGAGGUCUUGUUUGUUGAGAUCACCUGCGAGUGGUGAAGAGACCGGAAGAAGUAGUGUCUUCAAGGUUUGACAAGAGGACGGCAUUGAACCGGUGAGAUCUGAAGGUGUGGAAUUAGUAAGGCAAUGGAUGGGUUCCAAAGAAGAGGAUUUGACGUUUUCGUUAUGACAGCUCAAGAAAGUGUAGUUGACAAGGUGAAGAGGAGAAAAAGGAGACAUUGAAGCGUCGAAGCUGAGAAGCCGUCUGGCUAAGCAGUUAUCGGGGUCUCUAAGGUGAAUACGCUGCGACUUUAUGUCUUGGACGAGAAAUCGUCUGGAAUUUGGAAGCUUUAAGGCUGUCUCACAAUGGAGGUUGAAUCCUGGGUAGUCACAUGACGAAGAUUGCUCAGGAGAUAGCCAGAAAGGGAAGCUAACGUCAAGGUUGUUUCCUCCACAUGAAGAACUGUAGCAACGUUUUGGUUUUGAGGCAUUUAGGAGAGGAAAGUAGAAGAAGAAGAAGAAAUAGAGAAGAAGAGGGAAUUGUUUUGAGAAAGUCAUAUUGUGGUAAGGCACUAAGGGAAUUGGAAUUUACAUACUUAUAGACAAUGGAAAAAGUCAUAGAACAGUAAAGCUUAUGUUUAUCUUUAUUUUACUGAAGAGGAGAAGGAUUUGUAUACCAGAAAUACUGACUAUGAGACAAUGCACUGUGAAAGAAUCAGAGAAGCUGCUGGGAGAUUCUGAUGGAAACAAUGUCACCGUCUGUUCCUGCUUUCAUUGUGUGGUACUUCACAAGGAUUCCUGCAAUUCAAAUAUCAACUGCAUGGGGUGCAAUAACUGCUUUAGGUUGGGAAUCAUCUGCCUCUCCGGUCCAAGACUUGAGGUUGAGAAUACCUAGACAGAUUUCAUGUGGAAAUGUAUGAGAGACAAAGGAGUAUGAUUCAAAGAGGAGUAAAGGAACAUAAAAGUAAGUAAUGAAGUUACCUGAGGAUGAAGAUUUUUUAAGGUGUUUGAGGUCAAAUA